CCCUUAGAUGUUCUGGGCCGCACGCGCGCUACACUGACGAAGUCAGCGAGCAUGUCCUACGCCGACAGGUGCGGGGAAUCUUGUCAAACUUCGUCGUGAUGGGGAUUGAUUAUUGAAAUUCUUGAUCAUCAACGAGGAAUUCCUAGUAAGCGCAAGUCAGCAGCUUGCGUUGAUUACGUCCCUGCCCUUUGUACACACCGCCCGUCGCUACUACCGAUUGAAUGGUUUAGUGAGAUCUUCGGAUUGGCGCCACUGCGGCUCAGCAAUGGGCUCGGUGGAUGCCGAAAAGUUGAUCAAACUUGAUCAUUUAGAGGAAGUAAAAGUCGCAACA
RNAcentral lists this ribosomal RNA (331 nucleotides) under uncultured eukaryote. RNAcentral describes it as "partial 18S ribosomal RNA". It matches the Rfam family "Eukaryotic small subunit ribosomal RNA", at positions 1470 to 1796 of the family's 1831-position model. The record is from RNAcentral.